GUGAAGCUGGAUUCGCUAGUAAUCGCGCAUCAGCCAUGGCGCGGUGAAUACGUUCCCGGGCCUUGUACACACCGCCCGUCAAGCCAUGGGAGCCGGGAGUGCCUGAAGGCCGUGACCGCAAGGAGCGGCCUAAGGUAAAACUGGUGACUGGGGCUAAGUCGUAACAAGGUAUC
RNAcentral lists this ribosomal RNA (173 nucleotides) under uncultured bacterium. RNAcentral's name for it is "partial 16S ribosomal RNA". It matches the Rfam family "Bacterial small subunit ribosomal RNA", at positions 1320 to 1500 of the family's 1533-position model. The record is from RNAcentral.